CAGGGGAGUACGGAAGUUCACAGUGUGGACUGGUGGAGCUUUACGUCGUCGUUUGACUCAAAUUCACCACCUGGGUCGGUUCCGCCGCCGCCAACGACGACGCUGAUGAACCCAACGGCGAAUGUCGUUCGUUCACCGCCGCCGUCGCAACCGCCAUCGGAUUCAGAUUCCGUCACGCAAAAGAACUCCAAGUCGACGUCCUGCCACAAUGGGCUCUGUAAGCAAGGCGCUGGUGCAGUGGUCGGAGUUGUGACCGCGGGGGCUUUUGUUCUAGCAUUAUUUGCCGGCGGUUUAAUUUGGGUAUAUUCCAAAAAGAUCAAGCGGGUUAAAAAAUCGG
RNAcentral lists this unclassified non-coding RNA (337 nucleotides) under Hevea brasiliensis (rubber tree). Lineage: Eukaryota; Viridiplantae; Streptophyta; Magnoliopsida; Malpighiales; Euphorbiaceae. The record is from RNAcentral.